GAUGAACGCUGGCGGCGUGCCUAAUACAUGCAAGUCGAACGCUGAAGGAGGAGCUUGCUCUUCUGGAUGAGUUGCGAACGGGUGAGUGACGCGUAGGUAACCUGCCUGGUAGCGGGGUAUGACUAUUGGAAACGAUAGCUAAUACCGCAUGACAACAGUUAUUGCAUGAUAACUGUUUAAACGUGGCAACUGCUCCACUACCAGAUGGACCUGUGUUGUAUUAGCUAGUUGGGGGGGUAACGGCUCACCAAGGCGACGAUCCAUAGCCGGCCUGAGAGGGGGACCGGCAACACUGGACCUGGGACACGGUCAAGACUCUUCCGGGAGCAAGAAGAGGGGAACAUUGGACAAUGGGGGAAAGCCUGAUGCAGCAAGACGGCGUGGGUGAGGAAGGCCUUCGGGUUGUAAAGCCCUUUUGUUGGGAAAGAAAAGUGGCAGGUUAAUAAGCUGAUGUUCUGACGGUACCUAACGAAUAAGCAACGGCUAACUUCGUG
RNAcentral lists this ribosomal RNA (494 nucleotides) under uncultured bacterium. RNAcentral's name for it is "partial 16S ribosomal RNA". It matches the Rfam family "Bacterial small subunit ribosomal RNA", at positions 28 to 507 of the family's 1533-position model. The record is from RNAcentral.